This 253-nucleotide ribosomal RNA is filed under the name uncultured bacterium. RNAcentral describes it as "partial 16S ribosomal RNA". It matches the Rfam family "Bacterial small subunit ribosomal RNA", at positions 524 to 776 of the family's 1533-position model. The record is from RNAcentral.
UACAGAGGUCCCAAGCGUUGUUCGGAUUCAUUGGGCGUAAAGGGUGCGUAGGCGGCGCGGUAAGUCGGGUGUGAAAUCUCGGAGCUUAACUCCGAAACUGCAUUCGAUACUGCCGUGCUUGAGGACUGGAGAGGAGACUGGAAUUUACGGUGUAGCGGUGAAAUGCGUAGAUAUCGUAAGGAAGACCAGUGGCGAAGGCGAGUCUCUGGACAGUUACUGACGCUGAGGCACGAAGGCCAGGGGAGCAAACGGG